Long non-coding RNA from Neltuma alba, 95 nucleotides. RefSeq lists it as uncharacterized. The transcript is spliced from 3 exons. NCBI's taxonomy places the organism in Eukaryota, Viridiplantae, Streptophyta, Magnoliopsida, Fabales, Fabaceae. The record is from RefSeq and is a predicted model, not a curated record.
AUACUCCCGAUUCAUGAGCUCGAGGGUCUCUUCCUUGUGACCAAAACCUUUUCGGUUGUAAUUCUUACUCCUGCGAAAGUGUUCCGCAAGAAUCA